UACGAACCUGACAAACGUUAUUCGGAAUUACUGGGCUUAAAGGGUGCGUAGGCGGCGCGACAAGUUGGGUGUGAAAUCCCUCGGCUCAACCGAGGAACUGCGCUCAAUACUGUCGUGCUCGAGGGAGACAGAGGUGAGCGGAACUUAGGGUGGAGCGGUGAAAUGCGUUGAUAUCAUCUGGAAUACCGGAGGCGAAGGCGGCUCACUGGGGGUUUUCUGACGCUGAGGAACGAAAGCCAGGGUAGCGAACGGG
This 253-nucleotide ribosomal RNA is filed under the name uncultured bacterium. RNAcentral's name for it is "partial 16S ribosomal RNA". It matches the Rfam family "Bacterial small subunit ribosomal RNA", at positions 524 to 776 of the family's 1533-position model. The record is from RNAcentral.